This 77-nucleotide transfer RNA is filed under the name Culex quinquefasciatus (southern house mosquito). RNAcentral's name for it is "tRNA-Thr". It matches the Rfam family "tRNA". Rfam says of the family: Transfer RNA (tRNA) molecules are approximately 80 nucleotides in length. Their secondary structure includes four short double-helical elements and three loops (D, anti-codon, and T loops). Further hydrogen bonds mediate the characteristic L-shaped molecular structure. tRNAs have two regions of fundamental functional importance: the anti-codon, which is responsible for specific mRNA codon recognition, and the 3' end, to which the tRNAs corresponding amino acid is attached (by aminoacyl-tRNA synthetases). tRNAs cope with the degeneracy of the genetic code in two manners: having more than one tRNA (with a specific anti-codon) for a particular amino acid; and 'wobble' base-pairing, i.e. permitting non-standard base-pairing at the 3rd anti-codon position. The record is from RNAcentral. Lineage: Eukaryota; Metazoa; Arthropoda; Insecta; Diptera; Culicidae.
GCAGCAGUGUGCGGCCGAAUGGUUACGCUGUCCGCUUUGUAAGCGGAUGAUUCUGGGUUCGAUUCCCAUCUGCUGCA